RNAcentral lists this long non-coding RNA (1744 nucleotides) under Bos indicus x Bos taurus (hybrid cattle). Its description in RNAcentral is "lncRNA (ENSBIXG00005005008.1)". Lineage: Eukaryota; Metazoa; Chordata; Mammalia; Artiodactyla; Bovidae. The record is from RNAcentral.
ACCAAGUCCAUGCUUAGGGAACCACACAGGAGGAGUCAAGGUAAAAAGGGAUGACCCACUAGAUACAGCUGACUACAUGGUACCCAUGGAUAGGAUGUUGGCAGGGAGCAGGAGGGAUCCACUCUGUCCAGGGCACAAAGUGCCUAGGUUUCUGAUUCACUCUCCCAUUGUUACAACUGGAAUGACCUAGGGCACUGUAGUUAGCCUCCCUUAGCCUCAAUAUUCCGAUUUGUAAAGUGGCAACAGUGAUACUUACCAAGUUGGGUGGCUGUGGAUAUUAAAUCAGCUAGUGUAUCAGUUGCCCGAAACAUUGUAACUAGCUAGCUAUUUUUAUAACACAGUAAGUCAUGUAUUUGCAGGUUUGGGAGAGAGAGAGAUCGUCAAAGACCUGUGUUAUAUGCUGUCUUUCCUCUUGAGAAUCAAGACCCAUAGUUAGAAACCUCUCAGGACCUUGAUUUUGUGAUGUGGUGAUGGGGAUCUUUCUAGAUUGCGUGGCAUUUACUGAGCACUCUGCAGUCUUUACUUGAAAGGAUUCCUGCCCAUUGUGCCAGCUGAGCGAUGCAGGCUGUGCCCUUGUUUUGCUACCAUUUCAUACUCAGCAGAUCUUUUUCUUCCUUUUUCCUCCAGAAGGUCAGGACAACAGACACUCCUAACCCCAAAGAAAGGACAAGGGUGAAGAUGGCGAGGUGUGACUGACUCCUGGUCCUGAGCCUUGACCCCUCUGUAGCCCCAGAGCUGUGGCUGAGACCCUCCCAUCCUGGGGAGAGAGAGAGAAGCCCUAGGGCUUAGAACCUCACGAAGAAGAACGCAGGAAGCUUCGAAAACCGGGGGAACUGUGCACUUUCAAAGCUGAUGGUGGGAUGGUGCCUCUGCAAUCAACAGGGUCGAUGCAGGGCACAGGUGGACUCUUUAUCUGCUGAGCCAUGUGGGAAGCCCGACCAUGUCAGGUCCUAUGGAUCAUUCAGAGCAAAAGUAGUGAGUGGCAUUGAAGGACCCCCUUGAUCUCCCUCUUGUUCCCUUUAUCCCAAGCCCUCUCCUCCAGCUCUGUCAACUCUCUGGAUACUGUUCGUUAUCAGACUGUGGCCGCGGGUGAUGGGGCACCCUCUGAGAGGGGCUGUGACUUUUUCUGAGGCCAGCAGGAAUUUUCUUCCUCAAGGUAAUAAGCCCCUCUUCCUGUCUCUAAAACCAUUGAAUAUCUUUGUUUUGGGGGCAGGGGUGGGGACUUAGAAAUCUCAUUACUCCCAUUUGUGAUAUUUGCAAUCAGUAAGACAUCCCCUAAAAGCACUUUUUAUAUGCUCAGAAAGAGACAGACUGGGAAGGAAGCCUUGUAAACCUGAAGCAGAUACUCCUGAUAAAAGCCUGCAGGAAACAUGCUCUUAUUUACUUCGAUGUUCUGCAAACUUUGCUAUCGAAACCUUGUAUUGAUUUUGUCUCGGUCUCUGUCAACACGGUUACCCCUUGGGUCAAUACAUCCUGAUUAUCUAUCUCAAGACAGUUUGGAAUGAAGAAAUGGCUUUCUGAAGUUUUCUUUGUGUUAAGGUAAUUUUUUUGAUACUCUACUAAAACCCCAGAGAGGCUACCAGCAUCUCUCUCUCUCUCUUUAUAUUAUAUAUAUAUAUAUACACACACAUGCACACACACACAGACCACACAGACACACAUAUGCAUGGUCUAUCAAUGCUGAUAUCUACAUUUAUCAAUCCAUAGAUAAAUUUCAGCAUGUUAAUAGAUACAGAUAUACACA